CGUCGCUGAUUUUACGAACCGGCAUACGAAGCGUUUUUCGUGUAAAUUUUCGAUUUUAAUAUUUUUACAUAUUCUGAAUGAUAUUACCAUGAUCAACCUUUCUGCAAAAUUUUAGGUCAUAAAACGCUUUAAUUAAAAAGUUAUUCGAUUUUAUAAAAUAUGUGCGCUUUGUAUGCCAGUUCGUAAAGCUUGAGUUAACGCGCGAAAAGGAAUUUGUUGAUUUUACGAACCGGCACGCCUAGCUAUAACUAGUCUGCUAGCAGAAUAGGAUUCACCGGAAUCUGAUGCUUAAACUUCGAGUCUGCGUGGAACUGAUGGAGUUUAUCCAGGAUAGCCUUGUCCCGUAGAACAGGGACAAAUCUACUAACUUGACUGAUAUCAAAAGGAGAAAGAAUUCGGUACCAAGGAGAGGCACUUAGGUGAAAAUGAAAUAGGGCAGCAGGUGGUGGCGGGGAAAAUGUUGGCAGUGUCGGAACCUGGACUUGUACACACCAUGGAUAUGGGAGACAUCCCAUUAGCUGAGCUUGUUAUUCAGAUACGUUCACACCCAAUGACCGAUGAUACUAAAUUUGACUGCCCACAGACUGACAGCCUAAAAAUGCUCCUGACAGAGUUGAAAUGCCCAUCAGAGGUCCAGCAAGGAUGUAAUGUCCCAUACAUUGACCCCUUUUGAUUGAAGACCAGCCAACUUAAAGCUCACAGAUUGGUGUGAUUCAAUUGGCCCCAGUUCUACAAAAGGAUAGCCCACAGUUUGCUGACAGCCCACACACUGACUGCUAUUAGAACAAUGGUCCACAAAUAAUUGCUCAACAAGUUGAGAGCCAAGGGAUCCCAAACCCAUGGACAACAGGUCACUGGUUUUUAGUUCUCGGACCUGGUGAGGACAUCCCAAAGGCAGAAUGAAACAAAACCCAUGGAGUUGGAUACAGACUUUGAGGAUGAAGUACACAAAGUGGAAUCUGACACAGAAAACUUCCUGUUAGCUGCUGUUGGUCAGUAAUAGCACAGCAGAUGUUUCACCUGUUAUAUUGGAAUUUGUAUUCAUGUAAUUUGAAUCAUAAUCAUUCAAAUUAUAUACAUCUAUAUAUAUAUUACAUAAUUCUUUUAAUUUGUCCAAGGUUUACAAGUAAAAGAUAUGUUCAAAAUAACAUUGUUAUUUACACUUGGUUAUUCCAAAACAACUUAACUAGUACUCAUGCUACAACAUCCUAACAUAUAGUAUGACUUUAUCAGAAAAUUACAUUACCUUCUUCGUGUUUAUUUUGUAGCCUUCAUUUGCAAGCCUCCACCAGGAUCUUGAAAUGUAAUAGGUUUAUUGUCAUUUAAAUUCAACAACUUAAUACAAUAACAAGUAAUCA
Molecule: long non-coding RNA, 1358 nt
Organism: Strongylocentrotus purpuratus (purple sea urchin)
Lineage: Eukaryota; Metazoa; Echinodermata; Echinoidea; Camarodonta; Strongylocentrotidae
Exons: 5
Source: RefSeq, a predicted model, not a curated record